Molecule: long non-coding RNA, 298 nt
Filed under: Gossypium barbadense (sea-island cotton)
Lineage: Eukaryota; Viridiplantae; Streptophyta; Magnoliopsida; Malvales; Malvaceae
Description: long non-coding RNA (GBAR_LNC020293)
Source: RNAcentral
CGGCAUAUAUGGUCUUUGAUGAGCUCCGCCGCGCGCGGACGUGAUGAAGUGGGAAUGCCUCUGACGGUAGCGCCAUGAAGCGGCGUUGUUGGUGAUGUCAAUAAGAACAAAUCUCGAAUUCAAAGCUCUCAUUUCCCUUUACGAUGAAUUUUAUUUUCUCUCUGUGUUUGGUCUUGGUUUUGUAGGAAGGGGAAAGGAAAGGAAAGAAGAUAUGAGAAGCAAGGAGAAAGAAGAAGAUUCGAAGGGAUCUCCUCUGGGAUUGGAGAGAAAGUGGGACCCCAACAGAGGAAAGGCAGGC